UACGUAGGCAGGGAGCGUUGUUCGGAGUUACUGGGCGUAAAGGGUGUGUAGGCGGUUCUCUAAGUUUGGUGUGAAAUCUCCCGGCUCAACUGAGAGGGUGCGCCGAAAACUGGAGGGCUAGAGUACGGGAUGGGAGAGUAGAAUUCCUGGUGUAGCGGUGAAAUGCGUAGAUAUCAGGAGGAAUACCGGUGGUGUAGACGGCUCUCUGGACCGUAACUGACGCUGAGACACGAAAGCGUGGGUAGCAAACAGG
Molecule: ribosomal RNA, 253 nt
Filed under: uncultured bacterium
Lineage: Bacteria
Description: partial 16S ribosomal RNA
Rfam family: Bacterial small subunit ribosomal RNA
Source: RNAcentral